UCCCCUGUGGCGAAAUUGGUAAAUGCGCCUGACAUGAGCAGGCAGAUGUAGUGGGUUCAAGACCCUUAACCGACUGGAUAGGCUACACAAUACAGGUUCGAUUCCUGUCAGGGGAG
RNAcentral lists this transfer RNA (116 nucleotides) under Chryseobacterium sp. 52. Its description in RNAcentral is "tRNA-Ala". It matches the Rfam family "tRNA". From Rfam's summary of the family: Transfer RNA (tRNA) molecules are approximately 80 nucleotides in length. Their secondary structure includes four short double-helical elements and three loops (D, anti-codon, and T loops). Further hydrogen bonds mediate the characteristic L-shaped molecular structure. tRNAs have two regions of fundamental functional importance: the anti-codon, which is responsible for specific mRNA codon recognition, and the 3' end, to which the tRNAs corresponding amino acid is attached (by aminoacyl-tRNA synthetases). tRNAs cope with the degeneracy of the genetic code in two manners: having more than one tRNA (with a specific anti-codon) for a particular amino acid; and 'wobble' base-pairing, i.e. permitting non-standard base-pairing at the 3rd anti-codon position. The record is from RNAcentral. Lineage: Bacteria; Pseudomonadati; Bacteroidota; Flavobacteriia; Flavobacteriales; Weeksellaceae.